ACAGUCAAAGAAAUUUUGCAAUGCUGUGCUGCUUUGGAUGGUGGUAGUAAUAAUGAAAUGUAUUGAGGGCCAUGGCUACCUGAACUGAUGGCUAUAAAGAUACAAUGCUGUAUGUCUUCACCCUUCUGGAUCAGCAAUGUAUUUGCACUGUGCAGUGGGGGAAAAACAGCCUAAGCAGAGCCAGCUUUGGGGCUCUAAAGCCACAACAUACAAUGUAGGCAAUUCCCAGUGCUUGUCCCAGUGGAGUACUGCUAUUUAUGCAACAUGAAGUAUCUUACCAAAAUUGAUGGACCAGGUGUGCCUAAAUGACAGCCGAUUGAUAGCAGGUGCUGCCCCACACUUUUUAAAUAGAAAAAAGGCUCACUGGAGUUGUGACUGGGAAGGAAUAUGUCUGGGAAGAGAGCUGAGUCCACCUCAGAAGCAGAGAGAUACAGAUAAUGACUCUCCUUCCAGAACUGGAGAGAGACAGAACAGUGUGGGACCCAAGGUAACCUGGGCAGCGAUGGCUGCUUCCCUAUCCCAUGAUGAACUACAGUCCUCAGUAAAGCAAAACAUCCUGACAAUUUGUUUUCUGGGCCACUGGCUUCGUGUUACUAUUCAUGUCCUAGAACUGUUUUUCAGGAGAAUUGUGAAAGAAAUGUGAUGAAAAUGUGUCCUAGUGACUGUAUCUGUGGUGGCAAACCAGGACUGGAAGGCUGGGCUUGUUCAGCACAGAAAAGGGAUGGCCUUGUGAGGACCUAACAGCAGGCUGUCCGCACAUACCAAGCAGAUGAGUCCCAGCUCUUUGUGGUAGGAGGAUGAGAGAUGGGCAGAAUCUGAAAUGAGAGGUUCAGAUGGGAUAUAAGGAAAAAUAGACCCUGCCGUGAGGACCCUGCAGCAGCUGCGCAAGCUCCAGCCUUGGUGGGCUUCAAGACCUGACUGGAUCAAGCCCUGAGCAACUUGAUCAGAUACCAUGACCGACCCUGCACUGAGCAGGAGUUACACUAGAUACCUCCUGAGGUCCCUUACAAGCUGAAUUCCCUUGUCAUCUUAUUAGUCACAGGCCUUCCUCUGAGGACAACAUGAGGCACCUGGCUUGCUAGCCUGUGGGGUUCAGUUUCCAUGGUUCGUGAGGGAGUCCAUGUGGCCCCCUCUGGGAAAUCACACUGCCUAGGCUGCGUAGUGUGGCCUCCCAGCACAAUGCUGCCUGUUGUACCACCAGUGUGGGGUUGGGCAGCAGCAGGGCGGCCAUGUUGCUGCCGCGGCACCUGAGGAGGCCUGAGGUGGCUUGGGGAGGUGAGCCCCUGUAAGUCAGGUGGGGACAGCUGGUUACCAAAGGGUGCUUAAAAAUGUAGAGGCGUGUGGUGACAUUUGUACCUAUCUAGUUUUGUGGUCUCUGUCGUGUUGUCGAUAUCGACCCUGGAACAUAUAUUUCUCUGCUUCCCGCUUAAUUACAUGUAACUAAUAAACCAGUAA
Long non-coding RNA from Cygnus olor (mute swan), 1455 nucleotides. RefSeq lists it as uncharacterized. The transcript is spliced from 4 exons. The record is from RefSeq and is a predicted model, not a curated record. NCBI's taxonomy places the organism in Eukaryota, Metazoa, Chordata, Aves, Anseriformes, Anatidae.